This 278-nucleotide ribosomal RNA is filed under the name uncultured bacterium. Its description in RNAcentral is "partial 16S ribosomal RNA". It matches the Rfam family "Bacterial small subunit ribosomal RNA", at positions 28 to 307 of the family's 1533-position model. The record is from RNAcentral.
GAUGAACGCUGGCGGCAGGCUUAAUACAUGCAAGUCGUGGGGCAGCAGGGGUAGCAAUACCCGCUGGCGACCGGCAAACGGGUGCGGAACACGUACGCAACCUUCCUUUAACUGGAGAAUAGCCCCUCGAAAGAGGGAUUAAUACUCCGUAACAUGUACAUGUGGCAUCACAAGUACAUUAUAGCUUCGGCGGUUAAAGAUGGGCGUGCGCCUGAUUAGAUAGUGGCGGGGAACGCCACCAAGUCUGCGAUCAGUAACUGGUGUGAGAGCACGACCAG